This 1295-nucleotide long non-coding RNA is filed under the name Homo sapiens (human). Its description in RNAcentral is "HSALNT0162371". Lineage: Eukaryota; Metazoa; Chordata; Mammalia; Primates; Hominidae. The record is from RNAcentral.
AACAGAGCUAAAGUUAUUUUACAGCCAUGAAGAAAUCAGGAUUCCUUUCUAUAAAUAUGUUUGAAUAAUUUUAAUCUGGUGAAGAUUUGUACUAAUUUCUUAGAGAAAGGAAAAACACAAAUAAAUGAUGAAAAUGUAAAUAAAUAGUUUUUGCUAAAAGGAGAAAUUCAUAUGCCAGGAGCUUGGCUGUCUCUUAAUCAAAAAAAAAAAAGACAUAUGUCAUUGUGAUUUUGCCCUAAAUUAAAUUGAAAAUGUCAUUUUGUUUCAUCAUCAAGACUAUCAUCCAAGGGAGAUGUUUUUGCUAUUGUGAUUUUGCAGAUUGAAAAACCGAGUCUCAGAAAGUUCUAGGACAUCUCCGUGGCAAAGAUGGGAUUGGACCAAGGUCUCUGUGCCUGGUUCUAAAACUCACUCUUUCAUCCAUAGCACACCAACUCUUUUCAAAUAAAGAGAAAGAGGGAAGGAACAGAAUGGAUGGAGAUAUGGGGGCCCUUUUCUUCCAGGUGCCCCAGGAAGGGAAUUUUGGAGUCCACUGAAAUACCAUCCUGGGAAAUGGAGACGCAGAGGGGUUGCACCAUCCUUGUCUUCCACAGUGACUCUCCUACAAACACCUCUCCUCUCCUUCCCCUCUUUGGCUCCAGAAGGAGCCCUCCUCAGUUGGCCUGAAUGCAGCCUUCUGGUGGGAGUGAUGAAAGGCUGUGACAUGCUCUCUCCUCCUUCCUCCUUAUUUUGAUGGCAAGAAUAGAGAGGAACAUUAGAGCUAAAGGAUGUCUUCUUACUGCAAGGCCCCUUUGAUUCUGGAGGAGCCAAAAUGUACCCCAAAGACAAGAAACUGACCAUCCCAAAGGUGUUUGGUCUGGAGAGGCAGGAAUUUCAGCAGGGAGAUUUUAGGUAGACAUUAGCAAUGCAGGGCCAGUGGAUGGAAGCCAGGCAGCAACUUAGGGCUGAUCUCUAUAGGGAUGAGGAGGCCACAGGUGUCCACAGUGACAUGAGUGUGAGCUGCACGCUGCCAUUAAGUCUUCCCCAGGGCAGAGAGAGUCUCAGGCAUCUCUGCACAGUGACUUUGCCUGUUCUUUAGAGUCUUUGUCUGUUCUUAAGAGUCUUUGUUUCAGGUUCGAUGGCCGAGAGGUGGAAGUCUUUCUAGACCCUCCUGCCAACCGGAAAGGGUUCAGAAGUGGGGCUGGGUACAGGAGGAGCAGAACCUUCAGAGACAGCACCCAAGGAACCAGGUUGGCCUCUAAAGAGCACCCCCAAACGCUCUUCCUCACAGCUUUACACGCCUGAGCUGUGACAUUCUG